CUGAGCUUUUAAAUGAACAAUUUGGGUUGUAUAAUGUUUAGUAACAACAGAGGUUUUGUUUGUAGGCCCGAGGAAAGCCUUUCUCUAAACUCCGCCAUUUUACCAUAUUAUGUUUUCACAUUAGCACUUUUUAUUUGAAUUAUUUGUGCAGCUAAUAGUUUGCACCGUUUUAGUGUUUAUUCGAUAUUUAAAUAAUAACAUUUUUAAUGUAUUAAUGUAAUUUUUAAAAUCGUGAAAGUUGGGCUGUGGUGACGUCACAAACAAAAUGUUCCCGCUCAAUGUUGCGUUCAUUGUUGUUGGCCGGGCACAAAGAAAGCUAAAGGCUCCUCAGCGCUAUUGUGUUCUAGCUUGUUUUUGUCUAUGAGUUGACUCGUUACUGUUGUUUUGUGUUUGCUCUGCUCGUGUUAUCACCAACAGUCGGAAUUGUUAACGACUAAGUGUAACACAUAAGGAAACUGACCUCACAGGAAGGAACAUGGCAAUGAAACAGGCUAGAGGGUUGGACACCGCCGCCAUGGUGGCCGACAGAUGAUAGGCCUUGUUUCCGUAUGGCAUGCAUGAGUACGACUGCACAGACGGGAGCACCACGUUGGUCAGAGCAUUGAUCCAGCACAGAAUCCCAAAGAUGUACAACACCUGCAUCCAGCUAUUCAUCCCUGAACCCCACCUCAGUGCUUCAGUCCUGGGCGACAUCUCUACCACCAGGUAAACACGGGGUGAACUGACCUUCAUGCAGCACGUAAACAACCACCGGCAACUCGACCCACAAACUGUUGACGGAGAUCCAGGAGCCCAUGGCGAAAAGAGCCAUUAGUCCGUGGGUCACCGCAGCGCUGCUCCACCAGCUGCCGGACAUGGUUGCACCGAUUCCGGCCAAGGGGUCGACAAAGACAAGGGGAAACUUGGGACACCUCUCCACACACAAGUAACUCGUGUGAGGACGGAAGUGAAGGGUCUGCAUUCGAAGGGCUCCUCUGCAGGAUCAUGGACUGCUGCUUCACCAAAGGAGAAGCUGUCUCUCUGCUUCAUCGUGUGCUGUUCCUGGAUAAAGACACAAUUGGAAAAACAUGAAAUAUACCAGACAGCGGACCAUGGUGCAACGAGUAUUUUUGCUUCGUGUCUGAAUUCUCCAUCUUGACCUGAGGAAUUCAAAGGAGGACAUGGAAAAGUAACAAUAAGAAUUUAUCACCUGAGUGUCAGCGCUUUUCAUAUGGAACACCCCGAGUGAUGACAAGCUGUCAGCAAACAAUUCAAGCAUCGGUAUUUGGUCCACACAGACGACAGAAAUAAUCCAGACCAGAUGAUGGAGCUGUUCCAGAGUGAAAAGGUCUGCAGGUGGAAACAGGAACCACAGGUGUCUCAGCGAAUCAACUUCCAGAUGAUAAGAUGAUAAGCUUGUCCAGAUCCUUCUUGUUGAGGACGCCGAUGUCGUGGAGCCUCUCAGCUGGAACCUUUUCCCUGAUUCCUUCAAACGACAAAGGUGAGUCCCCUUCUUUCUUCACCCCAUCUACCUCAGUAGAACCAUUGAG
Molecule: long non-coding RNA, 1529 nt
Organism: Cynoglossus semilaevis (tongue sole)
Lineage: Eukaryota; Metazoa; Chordata; Actinopteri; Pleuronectiformes; Cynoglossidae
Exons: 10
Source: RefSeq, a predicted model, not a curated record